RNAcentral lists this ribosomal RNA (615 nucleotides) under Streptomyces yatensis. Its description in RNAcentral is "bacterial SSU rRNA". It matches the Rfam family "Bacterial small subunit ribosomal RNA", at positions 223 to 848 of the family's 1533-position model. The record is from RNAcentral. Lineage: Bacteria; Bacillati; Actinomycetota; Actinomycetes; Kitasatosporales; Streptomycetaceae.
GGAUCAGCCCACGGCCUAUCAGCUUGUUGGGGGGGUGAUGGCCUACCAAGGCGACGACGGGUAGCCGGCCUGAGAGGGCGACCGACCACACUGGGACUGAGACACGGCCCAGACUCCUACGGGAGGCAGCAGUGGGGAAUAUUGCACAAUGGGCGAAAGCCUGAUGCAGCGACGCCGCGUGAGGGAUGACGGCCUUCGGGUUGUAAACCUCUUUCAGCAGGGAAGAAGCGAGAGUGACGGUACCUGCAGAAGAAGCGCCGGCUAACUACGUGCCAGCAGCCGCGGUAAUACGUAGGGCGCAAGCGUUGUCCGGAAUUAUUGGGCGUAAAGAGCUCGUAGGCGGCUUGUCGCGUCGGAUGUGAAAGCCCGGGGCUUAACCCCGGGUCUGCAUUCGAUACGGGCAGGCUAGAGUUCGGUAGGGGAGAUCGGAACUCCUGGUGUAGCGGUGAAAUGCGCAGAUAUCAGGAGGAACACCGGUGGCGAAGGCGGAUCUCUGGGCCGAUACCGACGCUGAGGAGCGAAAGCGUGGGGAGCGAACAGGAUUAGAUACCCUGGUAGUCCACGCCGUAAACGUUGGGAACUAGGUGUGGGCGACAUUCCACGUCGUCCGCGCCG